UCAAAGGCUGUGAACAAGACUAGUAAUUUUCAAGCGAGGCUGAGAGAGCCGGGCAAGGUGUGAGCCGGUGCUGACGCAGAGGGUGAAUGGACUUGGGAGCCGCAAACCGAACGGAGUUAUCCAAGUAGGCCUUGCCGCAGGGGAAGCGUUAACGUAUCCUAAGGCAUAAAGGGUUCGCCCCAAGUGCCUGUUAAAGAUGGCCGGUAGCUUUAGGGUUACGGCUAAUUAGGGUGGUACCGCGGAAGUGAACCUUCUGCCCCUUUC
RNAcentral lists this non-coding RNA (264 nucleotides) under Dehalococcoides mccartyi. RNAcentral describes it as "Dehalococcoides ethenogenes T-box sequence". It matches the Rfam family "T-box leader". Rfam says of the family: Uncharged tRNA acts as the effector for transcription antitermination of genes in the T-box leader family. T-boxes are found upstream of many aminoacyl-tRNA synthetase genes and some amino acid biosynthetic genes usually in Gram-positive bacteria. Lineage: Bacteria; Bacillati; Chloroflexota; Dehalococcoidia; Dehalococcoidales; Dehalococcoidaceae. The record is from RNAcentral.